Lepisosteus oculatus (spotted gar) is the source of this 119-nucleotide ribosomal RNA. NCBI's taxonomy places the organism in Eukaryota, Metazoa, Chordata, Actinopteri, Semionotiformes, Lepisosteidae. The record is from Ensembl.
UCUCGCAGCCAUAUCACCCUGCAACUCACAACUGGCAACCCACUGAAGCUAAGCAGGUGUGAGCCUGGUCAGUACCUGGAUGGGAGACCUCCUGGGAAAAACUAAGAUUGCUGCUGGGA